ACACACACACACACACACUUAGAUAAAAAAAUAAAUCUCUAGUAGAAGAAACAUGGAUCCUUUCCCCUGUGAUAGACAUAAUUUACAAACCAAAAGAAGAGAAAACAUUUACCUAUAUCGUGACACCCUGUAUCAGUCACAUUUUUUCUCCUGUGGUAAAACUCCACGACUGAGAACAACUUAUGGAAGAGUUUGUUUAGCUUAUGGUUCCAGAGGACUAGGAACUCACUGUAGUGGAGAGGCAUGGCAGCAAGCAGCAGUCACGGUGGCAGGAGCAAGAAGCUGAGAGCUCACAUCUCAACCACAAGCACACAGCAUACAUGGCUUGAGGCUCUUAGCUCUCAAAUCUUGCUCCCAGUGACAUAGUUCCUCCAUUAAGGCUGGGGACUGAGCGUCCUAAUACUGGAGCCUGUGGGGGGAACUUUCUCAUCCAAACCACCACACAUACCCACCGAGAGUAGAAUUAUAUGUCAUUCAGAUUCUAAGAGAAUAUUACUGUGUUUAAAAGUGUAGUGCAAGCCAUGUGGUGGGGAACAGUAGUUAAAGUGCAUUAGGAUGGUCUUCUUCUAUGUACUGAUAUUAUUAUUCUAAUGCCACAGAAGGAGCACUGGGUGAAGUUGACCUCACAGAGCACUGAAUUCCCCGAUGUAAAAAAGCAGUAAUAAAAUCUUCCCUUCUGGGUGAAUGCUGCUGUGUGCCACAGUAGUGUGCAUACUGUUCCAGGAAAAGAAUGUGUAGUCAGUAAAUGCUGGCUCUACUUCAGAGAUUUUGCCCUCUACCAAUGACUCUCAUAAACAUAAUUGCCCCUGGUAAGUUAUAUAUGUGCCAUGUGUCAAUCAUCAUGCAUAUAUGGUAUUCAAAGUCAAGCAUUCAUUGCUUUAUUCUAUCUUAAACUUAUUGGGAAACAUAAACAUUUCAGAUUAACAUUCUGAUAAACAAUUUUGACUUAGAGAAAGAGAAAGCGAGCAGGGCCUUGUAGAACAAGCAAGUGGGCCACUGGGCUAGCGGAGGGAGUUCACAAGGGAAAUGAGUUACAAUCCAAGCCUUUGUCAAACACCCAGAAGCUUACAGCUCAAUGAAAGGAAUAGCUCAGGCUGCACAAAGAGUCAUGGGAAUGGUGACACAGAGUUAGGACUGAAGAGUAUACACAUGAAGUUCCGAGGGGAGGCUUCAUUCGAGUUUGAUAGAAAGGAAAUUUGACAGACAUGUAAAGAGGCAAAACCUUGGGAAAGUUUCAACAAGCACAGGGAUGGGAAAGAACACCAAUCCAAGGGGAAAAGCAAGUCCAAGGGGCAUUGACCAGCACCAUCUAGACUAAGACAAUGGGAGAACCAGUGUGCUAAGGAUCACAGUUGCCUAGGUGGGUUCUGAAGUUCCCUGCCAUGGUACACAUGAAAAUGGGAAGCUGUAAGCUGCCCAAGGCCCUAGGUGUGCAAAAAUACUCAGUGACCUUCAGCGGAUGCACUUCAUAGAGCCAUAGCCACCCUGACCCCAUGGACACUGUCCCAUUCCCACUCCGGAGAUGUCUCAUAGACAUUCAGCAGCAGCUUACUCGAGGCUACGCACAGUGCUCUUCUUGUUGUCUCAGUGGCUUUCCACAGCAGUGAAGUGACUAGCAUCAGUGCUGCCAUUCCCAUGUCACGCGUGAAGCAACUGGCCAAGCAAACUGCUCAGGGCCUCACUGCAGCUCCUCACUGCUGCAUUAUGGCUUUGAUGAAUGCUGCUGAAAGCAAAAGAACAUUUCACAUUGAGCACAGAAGGUCAAAAAGUGCCUGAAAUACAGGGACAAAGUGUGGAGUAGAGACUGAAGGAACAGACAUCCAGAGACUGCCCCACCUGGGGAUCCAUUCCAUAUACAGACACCAAACCCAGACACUAUUGUGGAUGCAAAGAAGUGCUUGCUGACAGAAGCCUGAUAUAGCUGCCUCCUGAGAGGCUCUGCCAGAGCCUGAAAAAUACAGAUGCAGAUGCUCGCAGCCAACCACUGGACUGAGCACAGGGACCCCAAUGGAGGAGAUAGGGAAAGGGCUGAAGGAGCUGAAGGGGUUUGCAACCCCACUGGAAGAACAACAAUAUCGACCAACCAGAUCCCCCCACACUCCAGAGCUUCCAGGGACUAAACCACCAACCAAAGAGAACACAUGGAGGGACUCAUGGCUCCAGCUGCAUAUGUAGCCUUAUGUGGCAUCAAAAGGAGGAGAGGCCCUUGGUCCUGUGAAGGCUCAAUGCCCCAGUGUAGUCGAAUGCCAGGGCGGUGAGUUGGGAGUGGUGGGUCGGUGGGAGAGCACCCUCAUAGAAGCAGGGUGAAAGGGAUGGAAUAGUAGUUUUGUGGAGAGGAAACUGGGAAGAAGGAUAACAUUUGAAAUGUAAAUAAAACAUUCAGUGAAAAAUUACUUUUAAAAGAGCAGAAAUAUGUCAGUACCACACACCCACUAAACCAUUGACAACACAAAAGGCAUGGAGCAACAGGGGCUCUCAUUCAUUGGUGGUGGGAAUGCAAAAUGGAAAAGACUUGGAAGGCAGUUGAGCGUCUUUGUAAGGUCCUAGAUGUACUCUCUCUGUGGCUCAGCAGCCAACCUCUUCUUUUUCUUGUUGUUGUUGUUGUU
Molecule: non-coding RNA, 2606 nt
Organism: Rattus norvegicus (Norway rat)
Lineage: Eukaryota; Metazoa; Chordata; Mammalia; Rodentia; Muridae
Source: RefSeq, a predicted model, not a curated record